Meriones unguiculatus (Mongolian gerbil) is the source of this 127-nucleotide small nucleolar RNA. NCBI's taxonomy places the organism in Eukaryota, Metazoa, Chordata, Mammalia, Rodentia, Muridae. The record is from Ensembl.
CCUGCCCCUAGGAGCUUUGCAGAUGUGGCUGCUGUAUCACAUGUGCAUUGGUAGGUAGCAGAGAGGAGAGAGGCUAUGUCUAUGCUCAGUGUUCUGACCGAUAGAUAUUUAUUAGUAGCCUAACAUU